Molecule: non-coding RNA, 180 nt
Filed under: Bacillus fengqiuensis
Lineage: Bacteria; Bacillati; Bacillota; Bacilli; Caryophanales; Bacillaceae
Description: 6S / SsrS RNA
Rfam family: 6S / SsrS RNA
About the family: E. coli 6S RNA was the first non coding RNA to be sequenced, but its function was unknown until recently. It consists of 184 nucleotides that fold into an extended hairpin structure with a large single-stranded internal bulge. The 6S RNA specifically associates with RNA polymerase holoenzyme containing the sigma70 specificity factor.
Source: RNAcentral
ACAUACCUGCGAUGCUCGUAUGCUCGCUGUUGUCUCAAACCGAUGUGAUAAAUAAGGGAGUCCAAUAUUCAAUUGCCGAUAACAUGCCCUUGGAUUUAGGGACGUUAAAAGCGGUUGUGCGAACGCCCACCUGCGAGUGCGGGUUUUGAGACACUUUGAGUUACGACAGAGCGGGGUGUU